Long non-coding RNA from Mesocricetus auratus (golden hamster), 1148 nucleotides. RefSeq lists it as uncharacterized. Lineage: Eukaryota; Metazoa; Chordata; Mammalia; Rodentia; Cricetidae. The transcript is spliced from 3 exons. The record is from RefSeq and is a predicted model, not a curated record.
UGGCUAAAAGGUCUUACUUUCUGCAAUGGUAUAGAUGGAGGAAAAUCCUUCAAUUGUUGAAAUAAUCUGUCAGCAGGAGCCAAUGUCUCAGGCUUUUCCAAGAUACCAAUGGGCAUCCCAUGGUAUAAAAACACCUGCAGCGGAAAGGCAAGCUGGAAACUCAAACACGAAGAGAGAACACAGAGAAACUUGGACUUCCUUAGUUGAUUUCUGCUUCAUGUUGCAAGCCCUGACUGGAUGAUGCUUCCAUGGGUUUUGUCUGUAUAUGUGUUUGUGUGCCAUGUAAAUGCAGUGUCUGAGAGGAAGCCAGAAGAAGGAAGGCUGUUUCCACUGGAACCAGAGCUGCCAUCUGGGUGCUGGGAAUGGAACCCACGUCCUCCGGAAGACUACCAAGUGCUCUUAACCACUGAGCCAUCUCUCCAGCUGCCAAUAGAGCUGUAAUUUGGUAAAAAGUUAAACCCCACUUCCAAGUAUUACAAAGUAUACUUACAUAGUUUUCUCUUUUGUCUCUUCCUUUCCUCAAAGAGUGCCAUGGUAAUUUGACACAGAUUAUUGACAUUGCUGUCGAUGGCUUUCAGCCCUUCCGGCAUCCUUUCCAUCUGUGCAACCCAGUGGUGGUAUUCCUCAAUGUCAAUCUCAGCCACCUCAGACAGAACGAAAUCUUGACGAGAAAAAGAAAACCAUCUUAUGGAAGAAGCAAAACUAUUAUGUUCAUGUAUAGGCUUAUGAUAUUUGGUAACUAUACAACAUGGUCCCAUUGGAGAAUAGAGUGAUCCUGUGCUUACUGCUGCCCUGAGCAUUUUCUCUAUUAAAUAAUUAUACAGGAAGAGAGACCUGGGAUAGAAGCCCAAACAGUUAAAUCAGCAAGUUAAGAAAAUAGUAUCCAGGUUUAAAAGCACCGUGUUUGUUUCCCUCAUUUGGCCCAGUCUUGUCUCCUACAUCUAGUUAGUCCCUCAGCUUCCCCUUAUGAUUAAACUUCUCCACUCUCUCAUUAACUGUCUUGUCUUUCUUCCCUCUGAAUCUGUCCAGACACUUACUCCAUUCUUCUAGCCAGGACAUAAGUUUCAUGAGAAUCCUUUCUCGGAAAUCAAUAGUCUUAACAUACAUAUCGAUCUUUUCUAAGAAAGCCUUUCUCUUCUUUCUCUGGU